Molecule: ribosomal RNA, 200 nt
Filed under: uncultured bacterium
Lineage: Bacteria
Description: partial 16S ribosomal RNA
Rfam family: Bacterial small subunit ribosomal RNA
Source: RNAcentral
AGAGUUUGAUCCUGGCUCAGGAUAAACGCUGGCGGCGUGCCUAACACAUGCAAGUCGAACGCCCUGCUUUCGGGUAGGGAGUGGCGGACGGGUGAGGAACACGUGGGUAUCUGCCCUGGGGUGAGGAAUACCGGCGAGAAAUCGCCGACAAUACCGCAUAGGCUCGGAGACGAGCAAAGUCGCAAGACGCCCUGGGAUGA